AGAGGGAGCCUGAGAAACGGCUACCACAUCNNNGGAAGGCAGCAGGCGCGCAAAUUACCCAAUCCCGACACGGGGAGGUAGUGACAAUAAAUAACAAUAUAGGGCCCUUUUGGGUCUUAUAAUUGGAAUGAGUACAAUUUAAAUCCCUUAACGAGGAACAAUUGGAGGGCAAGUCUGGUGCCAGCAGCCGCGGUAAUUCCAGCUCCAAUAGCGUAUANNNAAGUUGUUGCAGUUAAAAAGCUCGUAGUUGAAUUUCGGGGUUAGUAGGUUGGUCAUGCCUCUGGUAUGUACUGAUCUCACUGAUUCCUCCUUCCUGAUGAACCGUAAUGCCAUUAAUUUGGUGUUGCGGGGAAUUUGGACUGUUACUUUGAAAAAAUUAGAGUGUUUAAAGCAAGCUAACGCUUGAAUACAUUAGCAUGGAAUAAUGAAAUAGGACGUUCGAUCCUAUUUUGUUGGUUUCUAGGAUUGACGUAAUGAUUAAUAGGGAUAGUUGGGGGCAUUAGUAUUCAAUUGUCAGAGGUGAAAUUCUUGGAUUUACUGAAGACUAACUAUUGCGAAAGCAUUUGCCAAGGAUGUUUUCAUUAAUCAAGAACGAAAGUUAGGGGAUCGANNNNNAUCAGAUACCGUCGUAGUCUUAACCAUAAACUAUGCCGACUAGGAAUCAGACGAUGUUAAUUUUUUAAUGACUCGUUUGGCACCUUACGGGA
Molecule: ribosomal RNA, 707 nt
Filed under: uncultured fungus
Lineage: Eukaryota; Fungi
Description: SSU rRNA
Rfam family: Eukaryotic small subunit ribosomal RNA
Source: RNAcentral